Molecule: ribosomal RNA, 468 nt
Filed under: uncultured bacterium
Lineage: Bacteria
Description: bacterial SSU rRNA
Rfam family: Bacterial small subunit ribosomal RNA
Source: RNAcentral
AGAGUUUGAUCAUGGCUCAGGACGAACGCUGGCGGCGUGCUUAACACAUGCAAGUCGAACGGAAAGGCCCUUCGGGGUACUCGAGUGGCGAACGGGUGAGUAACACGUGGGUGAUCUGCCCUGCACUUUGGGAUAAGCCUGGGAAACUGGGUCUAAUACCGAAUAUGACCAUGCGCCUCCUGGUGUGUGGUGGAAAGCUUUUGCGGUGUGGGAUGGGCCCGCGGCCUAUCAGCUUGUUGGUGGGGUAAUGGCCUACCAAGGCGACGACGGGUAGCCGGCCUGAGAGGGUGACCGGCCACACUGGGACUGAGAUACGGCCCAGACUCCUACGGGAGGCAGCAGUGGGGAAUAUUGCACAAUGGGCGCAAGCCUGAUGCAGCGACGCCGCGUGAGGGAUGACGGCCUUCGGGUUGUAAACACUCUUUCAGCACAGACGAAGCGCAAGUGACGUAUGGCAGAAGAAGACCG